RNAcentral lists this ribosomal RNA (244 nucleotides) under uncultured Smithella sp. Its description in RNAcentral is "partial 16S ribosomal RNA". It matches the Rfam family "Bacterial small subunit ribosomal RNA", at positions 1139 to 1382 of the family's 1533-position model. Lineage: Bacteria; Pseudomonadati; Thermodesulfobacteriota; Syntrophia; Syntrophales; Smithellaceae. The record is from RNAcentral.
CUUUAAGAGACUGCCGGUGUUAAACCGGAGGAAGGUGGGGAUGACGUCAAGUCCUCAUGGCCUUUAUGCUUAGGGCUACACACGUGCUACAAUGGGUGGUACAAAGAGAAGCCAACUCGCGAGAGCGCGCCAAUCUCAAAAAGCCAUCCUCAGUUCGGAUUGGAGUCUGCAACUCGACUCCAUGAAGUUGGAAUCGCUAGUAAUCGCGGAUCAGCAUGCCGCGGUGAAUACGUUCCCGGGCCUU